This 253-nucleotide ribosomal RNA is filed under the name uncultured bacterium. RNAcentral's name for it is "partial 16S ribosomal RNA". It matches the Rfam family "Bacterial small subunit ribosomal RNA", at positions 524 to 776 of the family's 1533-position model. The record is from RNAcentral.
UACGUAGGGGGCAAGCGUUGUCCGGAUUUAUUGGGCGUAAAGAGCGUGUAGGCGGUUUGGUAAGUCCGUUGUGAAAACUCGAGGCUCAACCUCGAGACGCCGAUGGAAACCAUCAGACUAGAGUCCGGAAGAGGAGAGUGGAAUUCCUGGUGUAGCGGUGAAAUGCGCAGAUAUCAGGAAGAACACCCGUGGCUAAGGCGGCUCUCUAGUACGGUACUGACGCUGAGACGCGAAAGCGUGGGGAGCGAACAGG